This 537-nucleotide ribosomal RNA is filed under the name uncultured bacterium. Its description in RNAcentral is "bacterial SSU rRNA". It matches the Rfam family "Bacterial small subunit ribosomal RNA", at positions 373 to 901 of the family's 1533-position model. The record is from RNAcentral.
GGACAAAAGUCUGACGGAGCAACGCCGCGUGAGUGAUAAAGGUUUUCGGAUCGUAAAGCUCUGUUGUUAGGGAAGAACAAGUGCGAGAGUAACUGCUCGCACCUUGACGGUACCUAACCAGAAAGCCACGGCUAACUACGUGCCAGCAGCCGCGGUAAUACGUAGGUGGCAAGCGUUGUCCGGAAUUAUUGGGCGUAAAGGGCUCGCAGGCGGUUUCUUAAGUCUGAUGUGAAAGCCCCCAGCUCAACCGGGGAGGGUCAUUGGAAACUGGGAAACUUGAGUGCAGAAGAGGAGAGUGGAAUUCCACGUGUAGCGGUGAAAUGCAUAGAGAUGUGGAGGAACACCAGUGGCGAAGGCGACUCUCUGGUCUGUAACUGACGCUGAGGAGCGAAAGCGUGGGGAGCGAACAGGAUUAGAUACCCUGGUAGUCCACGCCGUAAACGAUGAGUGCUAAGUGUUAGGGGGUUUCCGCCCCUUAGUGCUGCAGCUAACGCAUUAAGCACUCCGCCUGGGGAGUACGGUCGCAAGACUGAAACU